CCCACCGCUCUGAAGGUAGCAGGAUGGAAAUUUUGGAUUCACCACACUCAGGUUGACCUCCUCAUACUCCGGGAGACAGGUCCAGCCCAGGAGCGGACAGGUGGUCUGGGGGAAGGCCUCCGAGAAGAUGUUCCUCCGCCCCAGAUGCCAUUCUGCCCUGGGAAUUGUCUCCACUCCAAAAUCCAUCUAGAGAGCAUCUGGAAACCCUGGGCCCAGGUUCGGUUUGGCAGACGGGAUAUCAUUCAGGUCUUGUUCACCUCCAAGAAGAGGAACAGGAUCCACAGAGGCAGCAAAAUCCAUCCUUGGGCCAGACAGCCAACCCCUCACAGAUCUGGCCCAAAUAGAAGCCUACCUCCCAAGUACCCAACCCAAUUGGGACCCGAACACUGAUCAAGAUAAUCUCUACUAGUAUCGCCGAUCUCUACUUCAGGGCCUCUGCGGAGCAGCCAAAAAGCCAACUACUCUGUCUAAGCUCUUUGCAGGCAAUCCAGAGGCUGAGAGAACAGACCUGACAGCCAAUCA
Molecule: long non-coding RNA, 522 nt
Organism: Molossus molossus (Pallas's mastiff bat)
Lineage: Eukaryota; Metazoa; Chordata; Mammalia; Chiroptera; Molossidae
Exons: 4
Source: RefSeq, a predicted model, not a curated record